This 1490-nucleotide ribosomal RNA is filed under the name Clostridia bacterium. RNAcentral describes it as "bacterial SSU rRNA". It matches the Rfam family "Bacterial small subunit ribosomal RNA". Lineage: Bacteria; Bacillati; Bacillota; Clostridia. The record is from RNAcentral.
AGAGAGUUUGAUCCUGGCUCAGGAUGAACGCUGGCGGCGUGCCUAACACAUGCAAGUCGAGCGGUACUUCGGUACAGCGGCGGACGGGUGAGUAACGCGUGGGCAAUUUGCCCUUUGCAUUGGGAUAACAGUUAGAAAUGACUGAUAAUACCGAAUAAGCGCACACUGGGGCAUCCCAGAGGGCGAAAAGAUUUAUCGGCAAAGGAGAAGCCCGCGUCCGAUUAGAUAGUUGGCGGUGUAACGGACCACCAAGUCGACGAUCGGUAGCCGGCCUGAGAGGGUGAACGGCCACAUUGGGACUGAGACACGGCCCAAACUCCUACGGGAGGCAGCAGUGGGGAAUAUUGCACAAUGGAGGAAACUCUGAUGCAGCAACGCCGCGUGAAGGACGAAGGCUUUCGGGUCGUAAACUUUUUUAGCCAGGGACGAUAAUGACGGUACCUGGAGAAUAAGCCCCGGCUAACUACGUGCCAGCAGCCGCGGUAAUACGUAGGGGGCAAGCGUUAUCCGGAAUUACUAGGGCGUAAAGGGUGAGUAGGCGGUUUGGCAAGUCAUAUGUGAAAGCCCGGGUCUCAAGCCCGGGAUUGCAUAAGAAACUGUCAGACUAGAGUACAGGAGAGGUAAGCGGAAUUCCAUGUGUAGCGGUGAAAUGCGUAGAUAUAUGGAAGAACACCGGUGGCGAAGGCGGCUUACUGGACUGAAACUGACGCUGAGUCACGAAAGCGUGGGGAGCAAACAGGAUUAGAUACCCUGGUAGUCCACGCCGUAAACGAUGAGUGCUAGGUGUCGGGGAGAGAUUCUCGGUGCCGCAGCAAACGCAAUAAGCACUCCGCCUGGGGAGUACGGCCGCAAGGCUGAAACUCAAAGGAAUUGACGGGGACCCGCACAAGCGGUGGAGCAUGUGGUUUAAUUCGAAGCAACGCGAAGAACCUUACCAAGGCUUGACAUCCCUCUGACAGGAGUAGAGAUACUUUUUUCUUUCGGGACAGAGGUGACAGGUGGUGCAUGGUUGUCGUCAGCUCGUGUCGUGAGAUGUUGGGUUAAGUCCCGCAACGAGCGCAACCCUUGUCUUUAGUAGCUACAUUUAGUUGGGCACUCUAGAGAGACUGCCGCAGUGAAUGCGGAGGAAGGUGGGGACGACGUCAAAUCAUCAUGCCCCUUAUGUCUUGGGCAACACACGUGCUACAAUGGCUCCUACAAAGUGAAGCGAGACCGCGAGGUGGAGCAAACCACAAAAAGGAGUCCCAGUUCGGAUUGCAGGCUGCAACCCGCCUGCAUGAAGUUGGAAUCGCUAGUAAUCGCGAAUCAGAAUGUCGCGGUGAAUACGUUCCCGGGUCUUGUACACACCGCCCGUCACACCAUGGGAGCUCGAAGCACCCAAAGACCGUGACCCAACCUUCGGGAGGGAGCGGGCUAAGGUGAAGCGAACGACUGGGGUGAAGUCGUAACAAGGUAGCCGUAUCGGAAGGUGCGGCUGGAUCACCUCCUUU